Long non-coding RNA from Lacerta agilis (Sand lizard), 538 nucleotides. RefSeq lists it as uncharacterized. The record is from RefSeq and is a predicted model, not a curated record. The transcript has 3 exons. Lineage: Eukaryota; Metazoa; Chordata; Lepidosauria; Squamata; Lacertidae.
GGGCGCGCGCGGGGCGGGGUGUGUGUGCGCUGCGUGCGCGGCUCCUACCGGCAGUUUCCGGGACCAGCAGGAGCUGCGGGAGCCGCUGCGGUGCCAAAAGGAGCCGGGAAGGACUCUUGGAAAGGCCGCCCCGCCCCGCUCCCCGCCGCUCCCCGUAACGAGCGCCUCGCCUCCGCUGCGAGUCCUGUUGAUCUCGAAGGAUAAAAUGAAUAGAAGGCAGGGAUUCUGGAUUAUUCAGGGCUUGUGAAUUACCUCAACUUCAUAGCAAGCCCUGUAGGAAAACUGUCCAGGCACCUGCAUUUCCAGUUGCUACCAAAGUGAAUGGGGAAUACACCAACAACAUGGACAAGAUGCUCUACAUGCUGGUGGUCAACACUUCCCAGAUGACCAAAUACAUGAAGCGUGUUGCUCACGGUUACGAGAAAGAAGUCAAAGAUCACAAAUUAAGCAAAAAGAGCAGAGCAGAUGAAUUUGAUGAAGACAAGAUAGAGCUUAUGAAUUCAUAUAUAAUAAUAGUAUUUGGAGUAGAAGUAGAACU